CUCUUCUGAAAAAAAAAUCCACAUAUUCUCUGAAACUACAAGUCCAAUCGACCUGAAAAUUUGCAGUCAGCAGGGCAUACAUGUACUGAAGGUUCAUAAAAAAACUUUUUGCAGAUAUCUCUCAAGACUUUUCCUAGAAAAAAGAAAUGGCAAUGCCGUAAAAAUCGCUUGCUAGGUCCGUAAAUCUCAGUAAAAACCUACAAUAAAAUGUCCGCUCUGAGAUUGAAAUACUAAUCUGUGUUUACAAACAGGUGCUGAAAAAUGGACAUUAUCAAAAAAUAAUCAUUAAAUGUGUUUUAAAGUUACACCGGAUCGAUUAAAUCCAAAACAUGCACUGCUGAUGAACUGUGAUCAAAAUGUCAAUUUCCUACAAUGACAAAAGAAAUUACAUUGUGUACAUUCCAUCUCUAGACUUGUUGUCUGUUCAAGGUCCCGACCUAAAAAGAAAUUAAAAGACUAAGUUUUUCUUAAUAUAAACCCGCGUCACGUGAUGUCUCCUCAAUCUUGCGCGCGCGCUGUAUCUAAAAUAAAAGAAAAACUUUCCAAACUAAACAUGACACUUCUCCGGUAACAUAAUAAUAUAGACCCCAUACCAAAGCAAACAAACAAACAAAUAAACAAAUACCCCCCCCCCCCUUUUCCAAAUCAAUCAAUAAAAAAAAAAUCAAUUAUCCAUUCAUCAGAGGGGAAAGACUGCCUAACAAUUGUUUUCAAAACAAUUGCUUUAUAUUUAUUAUUAGGUCUUUCCACCUUUCGUGUGGAAAGACCUAUUGAUUUUGUUCUGAUUAUUUUUUUUUUUCUUCCGCCUAAUUUUUUUCUUGCGGUGUAAAAAUGUUUCACUAGAUGUCGCUUAGUUUUUUUGUAUAUGAGAUCAUACAGUCUAU
This 884-nucleotide long non-coding RNA is filed under the name Mytilus galloprovincialis (Mediterranean mussel). Lineage: Eukaryota; Metazoa; Mollusca; Bivalvia; Mytilida; Mytilidae. The record is from RNAcentral.